This 442-nucleotide ribosomal RNA is filed under the name uncultured bacterium. Its description in RNAcentral is "partial 16S ribosomal RNA". It matches the Rfam family "Bacterial small subunit ribosomal RNA", at positions 339 to 795 of the family's 1533-position model. The record is from RNAcentral.
CUACGGGUUGCAGCAGUCGAGAAUCUUCCGCAAUGGGCGCAAGCCUGACGGAGCAAUGCCGCGUGAGGGAUGACGGCCCUAGGGUUGUAAACCUCUGUCAGAAGGGACGAAGAACGUGACGGUACCUUCAGAGGAAGCCAUGGCUAACUACGUGCCAGCAGCCGCGGUAAUACGUAGAUGGCGAGCGUUAUUCGGAUUUACUGGGCGUAAAGGGUCCGUAGGGGGUCUGCAAAGUCUGAUGGGAAAUCCUGCGGCUCAACCGCGGAACUGCAUUGGAAACUGGCGGACUAGAGUGUGCGAGGGGUGAGCGGAAUUCCUGGUGUAGCGGUGGAAUGCGUAGAUAUCAGGAAGAACACCGAUGGCGAAGGCGGCUCACUGGCGCAUCACUGACCCUGAGGGACGAAAGCGUGGGUAGCAAACAGGAUUAGAUACCCUCGUAGUC